CUAGGAUUGGGGUGGGGUUCAUCCCACCCAGACCACAGAGACUGAAAAUAAGAAAGGGGUGAGGCCUAAGGGACAAUCAGGAUGUUUUUCAGAGAGAAGUGUGGAUGCUGGACAGGAAGAACCACAGAUACCAGAUACGGGUACUGUUGUAACUCUGUUCUCCAUGAAAAGACAUACUUUAUUCAGCUGGGUGCUGAAAAAGAAUCUUGGAAAUUAGGAAACUGAAUGAGGCCUCAUUUCACACUCAGAAUGUGGGUUGCAAUAGUCACUUCCUCUGCUGCUGGGAAAGAAAGAAUUAUACUACCUUUUGAAUUUUGGAUUAAGGAGAGAGGUGUUGGCUUGUCAAACUACCAUGUAUUCCUCAAGACAUAUUUUUGUGGCUUUAUAAAAUUCAAUAUAUAUGUCUAAAUUCAAAAAUAUUUUGUUGCAAUCUGGCCCUUGGACAAACUGAGGCCCUAGCAACUGAUGUUUAUGGCUUUCCGUAGAACCUUUCAGAUAAAAUUUACACAGCAUUUUACUGCAGCUAUUUCACACAAAGCAGAGGAUUUUGCCACAAAACUGAAAGAAAAAAGAAACUGCAUUCUUAAAUUUUUCAUAAAUCAAAAGGUAUAAAAAUAUCUACCUAAACGAUAAAGGAGAUGAGAAACCCCACCCAUGAUGGGAAGAAAGCCUAUUUCAGUUUUGCCUUUACUUCAAGUUCUUUUUUCCAUAUCUGGAAUGCAAUCAGAAUUUUAAUCUUGCCUUGGGUUCCUCCUGGAUUUGGGGAGAAGACAAAACCUGAAAAUCUCUAAUCUGCAUGUGUUCAGCUGCGUAUCUUCUGGAUACGGAAGGAUCACACUGCACAGAGUGCUGGACUUGCAGGAGCCCCGCUUCUCAACCUCCAUCGCUUUAUGAAUGAAUUCACCAGAAAGAAAAGGAAGAAUCAACACUUUCAGAGAUGGAGCCUGUUGAGCCACAGUACCAACUAGUCAAUGCUGAAUCGACUUCUCCCUUUCUACAUUGCCUGAGAGAAGUCAUUGGGGAAUACUCUGUACACGAAUUUUCACUGUUGGGGAAAACAGAGAGUCAAGGGAUUGGAUUGUGGAUUGCAUUGGUGGUUUUCCUCAGUUUCCUCAUCUUCUCCACAAGUUUCUACAUAUCGAAUGCAGAGCAGCCCUUCUUCAAAGGACCUCCUACGGAAGCUGCUAAGGAACUCAGUCUGUAGCUCUGCGUGGAGCCAUGUGUAAACACUGAACUGAGACCUGCCACCUCCUACUACCUAAGGGCCCAUUUUCAUCUGAUAUCAUCCCCCAGAAACAAACUCAUGAUGACUUCCAUGUUUUUUUUAGAUUAGAUACAUGGAGAAUUUUCCUUUCCCUUAGAAUUAAAAUCCUGCAUUCUAAUUUUCAGUAAGCUUUUUUAUUUCUGAAUAAUUUUAAAUUUAAAGAGAAGUUGCAAAGAUAGUAUAGAAUGUUCCCUUAUACCUGUUUUUAUUUAGAGUGAUGUUCCCAGGAGAAAUGAUAAUGCAGCAAUGGACAAGAACAGGAACAAGAGACAGUCUUACCAUCUUCUUACAAUUUAUAGAUGGGACAGUGGAAAGAGAAGCCACAUCGGGGUUGGGCAUGCAGAGACCUGGUCCUAAAUCUGUGUGACUUUUGCGAAAUCCUUUUGCCUCACAGAGCUCUAGGUUCUUAUCUGUCAAACAGGAACCAGACCAUCAGAUCCGUAGAGAUCCAACCAAUGAAGGAGACUUCGAAAACUUCACAUUGCCGUGUCAAUGUGAGGUUGCUGGAUGGUUAUGACAAGAAAUCACAUUAAAUUCACUGGGGUAACAUUGUUCAUGAAACGGGAUAAUGUGUUUCAGCGAUGAACCACCCAUGGCCUUACUACAGACAUAUUUCCACUUUGAAAAUGUGUGGUAAAACUUUUUCGUCUCUACAGAACUCUCUCCAAGUGCACACCCAUAGAUUGGUUUGCUUGUGGAAUCCUAGCAUAUCAGAAAUGAAGGAAUCUCAGAAAUUGUUUUCAUCAAACACCUCAUAUGCAGAAGGCAAAAUGAAGGUUCAGAGCAGAAAUGAUUUGUCCAAGGAUGCAACACUCAUCUGCAGCAGAGGGAAGCUGAGCUCUGCAGACCCACCUAGCACUGCAGAGGCAGCCCUCUAGGACAAGGCUUCAUAAAAAAGUGACUUUAUGAGUUGGCUCCAUAAAAAAGAUACAGAUUAAGAAAUUGUUUAAACA
RNAcentral lists this long non-coding RNA (2217 nucleotides) under Homo sapiens (human). Its description in RNAcentral is "HSALNT0371399". Lineage: Eukaryota; Metazoa; Chordata; Mammalia; Primates; Hominidae. The record is from RNAcentral.